RNAcentral lists this ribosomal RNA (253 nucleotides) under uncultured bacterium. RNAcentral describes it as "partial 16S ribosomal RNA". It matches the Rfam family "Bacterial small subunit ribosomal RNA", at positions 524 to 776 of the family's 1533-position model. The record is from RNAcentral.
UACGAAGGGGGCGAGCGUUGUUCGGAUUUACUGGGCGUAAAGGGCGCGCAGGCGGUCUUGAAAGUCAGGCGUGAAAGCCCCGGGCUUAACCUGGGAAUUGCGCUUGAUACUCUGAGACUGGAGUACGGGAGAGGAGAGUGGAAUUCCCAGUGUAGAGGUGAAAUUCGUAGAUAUUGGGAAGAACACCAGUGGCGAAGGCGGCUCACUGGCUCAUUUCUGACGCUCAGGCGCGACAGCGUGGGGAUCAAACAGG